Long non-coding RNA from Hylaeus volcanicus, 2808 nucleotides. RefSeq lists it as uncharacterized. The transcript has 3 exons. NCBI's taxonomy places the organism in Eukaryota, Metazoa, Arthropoda, Insecta, Hymenoptera, Colletidae. The record is from RefSeq and is a predicted model, not a curated record.
UUUUUAUAUAGAAAACAUUGAACCGAAGUUUCGGAGUCUUUUCUUUUACAUAUAUAGAUUCCAAUGGAAUUUAGAAUGAAAGAGGUAUCGAUUAAUUUGUUCAACCUAGGAAAUUUCUUGAGUUUUCGUUUCGCGGCUGAUUUUGCGACGCGUGCUUUCGGUGCAUCCUGUACGAAAGAAUAAUUAAAGCUACAGAUUUAAUAUAAACGACAAUGAACAAGUAGGUAGGUCACGCCGAUACAUGUAUGUACCUAUAAACAUAAGUUGAGAGUACGCACUUUUGUAAUAGUAGUUCUGAGACGAGAAGAACAAAGCGAUAUAUGAUAGUGAAUGAUAUAUUAUAUAUAUUAUAUAUAUGUAUACACAUAUGAGAAGAAAAAAAAAAUGAAGUUGACGCUUGAUACACCAUAGUUUUCACCGACAUAUCCUGGCUGAACACAUCCUCUUUACGUGCAUACCGCAUACCUAUUGUAGUUAUUAUUACGAUACACGCGAUGUUAGAGUAUUUUAUGAUUAAAACGAUAAUAAUAUUAUUACGAUUAUUAUGGAUUAAUUAUGAUUAUGAUUAUGAUUAUUGUCAUCGUCAUAUUAUGAUUAUUAAGGAGUAUAGGUACAUGUAAACGUAACGAUGGUACAACUAAGGCAAGUAUGUACUGUACAUAGCUGUCACUUACCCCCUGCCCCACCAUACCGAUUAUAUAAAUAUGUAUAUAUACAUAUAUAAAUAUAAGUAUAUAUAAAUUGAUAUAUAUGUGUAUAUAUACACAUAAAGCCAUCAUGUUGCAGAACAUUAAUCAUUAUUGUAUUAAUGACUAUUUCGAACUAUUAUUGUCAUUACUAUUACUAUUAUUUUAUCGAAAAGAAUUGUAAUUGUAAUUGUAAUUAUUAUUAUUAUUAUUAUUAUUAUUAUUAUUAUUAUUAUUAUUAUUAUAAUUCCUAUUAUGAUCAUUAUCGCGACAAGAACGUAAUUGAAACCGUGUCUAAUUUUAAUUAGCGUAUGAAUGAUAUAUUAUCAUUGCUGAAAGUAGAUCCUCACUCUUAGCACGGGCAGCUAUAAAACUGUAUUCUUAUUUUUCUCAGAUUGGAUUCUACCUCAAUUUUAUUAUUAUUACUAUAACGUGGAAAGAAAAAUGAUAAAAAAAAAAAUACGAACAAACGAGGCGUCCACCACACUUCUCUAUCCUUCCAUUAUCUGCUAAACUGAAGCACUUCGAUCGAUUAAAAAUGCUACUUAUUAUUACUAUUAGUUAAACUAGUGAGAAUCGUAAACAAAAACAAAAUACUGCAGCGACCUCAGCCUGUGAUAGUUACAAAGGAUAUUAUUUCAAUUAAGAAUCUGCUGUAUUAUGUCAAACGUUAGAUCAUCGAUCGGCGAUAGUUUGAAGAAAAAAAAAAAAAAAAAAUCAAGCGAAAUGUCCGUACUACGUUUACGAUUGGAUUACUAUUAUUAACGAGGCAUUUCCGCCUAAACGUCGAGCUCAUUACGAUCGAAAAAAGAAAAACGAAGGCAUGGUGCGAGGGACAGUGUUAUAUAGUUUGAUACUGUGUUGAUCGAGAUUAGUAAGACUUUUUAAAUUUAAUUUUUGUAACGAGCUUUGUUGCUAUCGUUGCGAUCGCUACGUAGCGCAGUAUGUAUGUAUAUAUAUAUACGUUAUUAUAAAACUUUGCUUUUACGAUAUUCAUGCGUAUAACAGUGAUGUAUAUUUACGGUUUACACGUUUCCUUGGAGAGCAUUGUAAAGAUAAAGGACACGAGUUGUAAUACUUUUUCUUUGAAUCAUAUAUAUUAUGUAAUUACGCUGAUACUCGUAAUUUUAUCUGUAACCGCAUGUGAUAAGAGACAAGAGAGUACUCAAGAGUACGGAAAGGCAAGUGUAACGAAUGUCAUCGAGUGCUUUAACAAAUAUAUAUAUAUAUUAAUAUGUAACAAACGCUGUGCGCUUGUGAUCUUAAGAAUUUACGUUUUUUCUUUUUUAAAGCUAAUCCACACUCUUCUUUUUUCUCUUACAUGCUGUGUCAUGUAAACGGCUCGAAGUUUCCGUACGGUAUGUUCCUUUAUUAGACAGAAACAAGCAAAGAUCAUUUAUAUUAGCUGUAAUGAUUGCCUGUAGGGCUUCUUUGUAAUAACUUUCAGUAUAUUACUGUAUUGUGAUGUUAUCUUAAGCCAUGGACCGAAGUGGGAGAAUUUUCUCGAGGUCGCUGUAGUGUAUUCUACCGCUGAGGUGAGGGAUCACUUUCUCAGUUUUUUAGAUUGCUCAAGGAGCACCAAACAAGCGAACAGUCGACUGUUUAAGAGUAAGGAAAGAGUGAAACAGAUUGUACCCGCGUAAUUAUCUUUGAGUGGCGAAAUGCGACGAUUGGGGACUGUGUAUUGUGAUCAGCAAACAGACUACAAUGUAGUUUGUUCGUAAUCGAAUGAACAAACGGAAACACUUGUGUAAUAAAGUAGAUAUCCAUGAAAAAUCUUUCAUGAUUUUAUUUGCACACUUUUCUUUAAAGGGGAAAACAGGCACAGCGCGACAAUUUACAAACUUUAUUUCGUAACGAAAUCACUUGAAAGUACACUUUAUCUUUCAUUCCAUCUCAACGUCGACAACUGCAUCUUCCACGAUGAUCUGUUCCGAUGUCACAGGAACUUGUAUUAUCGGUAAGGGAUCGGGAGAUCGAGUCGAUGCCUGCUUCCAUGGAACCUAUUAAAGACGGUUGGAAUAAUAUUUCUGGAGCUCGCAAACGUUCCACUCCUAUAUGUAAUUGAUGAGUUUCUCCGGGAACCAUGGGAACGUUUGAUCCAGCUCCGUCGAAUUCUGGG